Xyrauchen texanus (razorback sucker) is the source of this 248-nucleotide long non-coding RNA. RefSeq lists it as uncharacterized. The record is from RefSeq and is a predicted model, not a curated record. The transcript is spliced from 4 exons. Lineage: Eukaryota; Metazoa; Chordata; Actinopteri; Cypriniformes; Catostomidae.
CAGACAGACAGACAGAUAGAUAGAUAGGUCAUACGGAAGACAGACAGACAGACAGACAGACAGAUAGAUAGAUAGAUAGAUAGAUAGAUAGAUAGGUCCUACGGAAGACAGACAGACAGACACACAGACAGAUAGAUAGAUAGAUAAAUAGAUAGAUAGGUCAUACGGAAGACAGACAGACAGACAGACAGACAGAUAGAUAGGUCAUAUGGAAGACAGACAGACAGACAGAUAGACACACAGAUAGG